RNAcentral lists this small RNA (741 nucleotides) under Pongo abelii (Sumatran orangutan). RNAcentral describes it as "retained intron". The record is from RNAcentral. Lineage: Eukaryota; Metazoa; Chordata; Mammalia; Primates; Hominidae.
UAGGCCAAGAAGUCUCACAGGAAAAUAAAUAUCAGUUUCUUUUUUUAUUAAAAAAAGGUUUUUUUGGCUGGAUGUGUGGCUCACACCUGUAAUCCCAGCACUUUGGAAGGCUGAGGUGGGCAGAUUGCUUGAGCUCAGAAGUUCGAGACCAGCCUGGGCAACAUGGUAAAACCUCGUCUCUACAAAAAAAUACAAAAAAUUAGCCAGGCAUGGUGGCACGAGCCUAUAGUCCCAGCUACUCAGGUGGCUGAGGUGGGAAGAUGGCUUGAGCCCCUGAAGCAGAAGUUUCAGUGAGCCAAGAUCAUGCCACUGUACUCCAGCCUGGGUGAGAGAGCCAGACCCUGUCUUAGGAAAAAGAAAAAAGUUGUUUUUCUAGAGAUGGGAUCUUGAUACAUUACCCAGGCUGAUCUCAAACUCCUGACCUCAAGUGAUUCUGCUGCCUUGGCUUCCCAAAAUGUAGAGAGUACAAACAUGGGCUACCACACCCAGCCAGAAGUGCCAGCUAAUAAUUUUUUUUUCUUCUUCAAACCAGCACAACAGAUUUGUUUUGGACUGUAAAGACAAAGAGCCUGAUGUACUGUUUGUGGGAGACUCCAUGGUGCAGUUAAUGCAGCAAUAUGAGAUAUGGCGAGAGCUUUUUUCCCCACUUCAUGCACUGAAUUUUGGAAUUGGGGGAGAUACAACAAGACAUGUUUUGUGGAGACUAAAGAAUGGAGAACUGGAGAAUAUUAAGCCUAAGGU